This 699-nucleotide ribosomal RNA is filed under the name uncultured bacterium. RNAcentral describes it as "bacterial SSU rRNA". It matches the Rfam family "Bacterial small subunit ribosomal RNA", at positions 1 to 742 of the family's 1533-position model. The record is from RNAcentral.
AGAGGUUUGAUCCUGGCUCAGAACGAACGCUGGCGGCAGGCCUAACACAUGCAAGUCGAAGGAGAAGCCAUCUUCGGAUGGUGGAAACUGGCGCACGGGUGAGUAACGCGUGGGUAUCUACCUUGGGGUGGGGAAUAACCGCUGGAAACGGCGGCUAAUACCGCAUACGCCUUUAGAGGGAAAGCUCUGGCGCCCUAAGAGGAGCCCGCGUUGGAUUAGCUUGUUGGUGGGGUAAUGGCCUACCAAGGCUACGAUCUAUAGCUGGUCUGAGAGGAUGAUCAGCCACACUGGGACUGAGGUACGGCCCAGACUCCUACGGGAGGCAGCAGUGGGGAAUAUUGGACAAUGGGCGCAAGCCUGAUCCAGCCAUGCCGCGUGAGUGAAGAAGGCCUUAGGGUUGUAAAGCUCUUUCACCUGCGAAGAUGAUGACGGUAGCAGGAGAAGAAGCCCCGGCUAACUCCGUGCCAGCAGCCGCGGUAAUACGGAGGGGGCUAGCGUUGUUCGGAUUUACUGGGCGUAAAGGGCGCGUAGGCGGUAUGCCAUGUCAGGGGUGAAAGGCCUGGGCUCAACCCAGGAACUGCCUUUGAAACUGGCAAACUAGAGUCCGAUAGAGGAUGGCGGAAUUCCCAGUGUAGAGGUGAAAUUCGUAGAUAUUGGGAAGAACACCAGUGGCGAAGGCGGCCAUCUGGAUCGGCACUG